ACUCAACUCAAAACAAAGUGAGUUGAAAUUGUAUAUACCUUUGUAGAUUCCUCUUUGCAUAAGCAAAGGCUAAUCACCCAAACAGAGGGCCUUCAUUCCUUGCAUCUAAAAUCUAUGGAUUUGGAUGGAAGAAUAGGUUUCUCCAAGUUCCCAAAAUUGAGAACCUCUAAGUCUCCACACCAAGGAGAGAUUGGAGAAGAAAAUGAGUGACCUUGGAGUAGUAGUAUGGCUAGAUACACCCUCCAAGGGGCCGGCCUCUUUAGAGAGAAAUGGAGAGACAUGUUCUCUCCAAUUUUCUCCAAAACAAACCCCUUAAUGAAUUUUAGCUAUAAAGUCAUAUUUAUACCUUAAUUCAUUGGAGUGGCAAACUUGUAAAUAAGUCCAAGUUCACUACCCUUCUCUAAAUGGCCGGCCCUAGGGUUUUGUUUGGGCUUUUGGGCCUUUGUGAAUUAAGUUGUCAUACAACUUAAGUCAAUGGGCUUGACGUUCGAAGCCCAUUGGGCCUUAAGGUCCAAAACUAUCCCCGAGGUCUUUAACGAACUUAUUCGUUUGAUUAAUUAACAUAUUAAUUAAUCCUUGCCAUAAAUAAUUAAACCAUUUAAUUAUUCUUACUCAUCUCCAUUGUUUCUUCAAUCUUCACCUUACACGGUGUAUGAUCCAUUAGGUUCCUUUUAGCGAGGCAGUGGGCGAUUAAAACCAUUUUACAUCGAUUGUGAAUUGAAACUUACUUUCAAUUCUCCCUUUAGUGAUUACACACGUUUAGGGCUUCCACAAACCAUGAGUGACACCUAGCAGCAUAUCAUGGUUACCCAAGCUAAUCAGAAGAGGUGGAGAACCUAUUCAGUUUAGGAUUACAAAUGCAAUACGGUCUUUCUCUAAUCUAAUACUCUUGACCACAUUGUUUGGUUUGAUAGUUUAUUUAUUCAUGUCUAUCCAAUGUGAUUUGUGUGCUUAUAUGAUUACCUUGAAUGUGAUUUGGAACGCUUUCCUAAAUCUCAUUCAUACUCUGAUCAGAGGUUCUAAAUCAUAUCAUAGAGUAUUCUCCCUCAAACGGUUUGAAGGUUAGAGAUCCCUCGUUGCGCAUUCACUUGCCUCCAUGACUAAGUGGCGUAACCCCAACGAUGCCGUGGACACCCCGAUGGGGUGACUUUGACAUAAUCAAAGAUCAAGGACUUAACCACAAGACAACUGUGAUGCCUCAGGUCAAAGGACUACUUUGCAUUAUCCCAACCAUGAGUUCUCAUGUGACAUGAAUAUGAGAACUCUUCGUUGAUCGUGUUCAGUGAACUCAUUCUCUAUUGAGCGCCUACGUACUUGACUUGAUGUCACACACACCAAUGACUCGAGACUAGUCACUCUCCCUGAGAGAAGACACAGUACGUACUGAUCUUAACGGACUGUCAAUGCCCAAUUGGCAAUCCUAUGAUCAGGAACAUUUAGGAUGUGUCUACGAAAGAAUGGUCUCAUGAAUCUAACUUCUUUAGAUCGUAUUCUCCCAAUCACAUAUUCCUUGGACUUUAUCGUUUAAGCAUAUAACAUUUAUAUGAGACGGCUCAAACAAUAAUCUUUGCCCUUUAUAGUUAAACUAGUUUAGUUUAACAUGUGAAAUGUCCGUAAAGUAUCAUCAUAUGAUUGGUUUUAGGGCACAUUUCCAACAAAUUUCAAUAUAAUUUAACUAAUUUAUAUUUUUAAAAAAUAAAACGAAGAAAAUACCUUCCAAAUCGUUAUCCACCAAGCGCUAGUCACACACAAUAUCCCUAUACACAACAAAUUUUACGGUGUUAGUAUGAAUUGACAUUGAUAAUUUUUAAAUGAAAUAACAAAAACCCUUACCAAACACACCGAAAUAGCUCGAUCAACCUAGAGAAGUUAGAGAUUCAGAUGGACAAAGUAUUAGAGGAAGAAAUUGAGAGAAUUGGGAAUAAUAGAUCCCGAAUUGAAAAAAAAUGAAGGGAAAAAAGGUGCAGAGGCGAAAUCUACAGUUUUCUGCCUUUGCAGCUAAAGUCACGUUAUAAAGAUUACUUUGUGGAAUAAUCACUUUGCACAACGAACGUAGAAUUCAUUGCGCAAGUUACUUUUGCGCGACCAAAUAUAACUUUGUCGUGCAAGUGUCAAUUUUUUUAUUGCAAAAUUCUCUUUGUCGUUUUCUUUUUAAUUUAAUAAUGUAAACUAUUUGACAACGAAUACUAUAUUCUUUGCGCAAGUUGCAUUAUUUAUUUUCCGUUUUCUUUCUAACUAAUGUAAAUUUUUCUUUAUCCAAUUAAAAUUAUCAAACCAAAUUAUAUAUUACAAAAAUAUUUAUUAAAACUAAUUUAUUAACAAAAAUAUAUAUUAUAACUAAUGUAAACUUUAAGUCGUCCAUGUAAAAUAAAUUUUAAAAAUAAAGUCCAACAUAAUGUUUUAAUAAAUCUUAUUUAAUAAAAAAAAAAAAAAAAACCAAAUUAAGUUCACUCUUCCUCUGGGCCAUCAGCAGCGGCAUGGUCAACUCACGCACGCUUUGCAACCCGCUAUACAUCAAACUUCUACUGCCAGAACUGCAUCUUGAAAAGGUCUUCCACAUACAUCCGCUGCUUCUCAUCGGUUUCAUCAACAUCCUAAACAAUCUGUAAUGGCAAUAAAAUUAAAUUAGUUAUUGCAAAAAUAUUAUUUUUAAACAAAAACAAUUUCACAUUCUUUAAUACAAACUUAAUGAUAACUUCUGCACCAUGGAGUUCUUCAAGUCCACAUGCACCAUUUUCAAGACUUAAACUUGGUAGAACACUUCUUUUGCACCUAUCCCCCCAUAUCGAACCUAAGUUUGACGGACGCUUCAACCGAACUUUUGUCAUCAAACGAGGGCAAACGCUUACGUUGGUACCUCUAUAUUGUCAACACAACUUUCUUCAUUUUCUCUCCAACCACAAAAAUUUAAAACGUAACGGCCUAUUAAAACAAUAAUUUAAACCAUAUCAAAUGUAAAACAAUUAAUUCCACAAUAAUUUUUUUUUUUACCUUUCCCUUCAUGAGAGCCUUUUCCCUUCCAACUUUUCAUUGAGUCUGAAACCAAAUUGGCCAUCUUUUGAAACAAAACCUUUGCAAAAUAGGGUUUUGAAACUCUGUUUAUAUAAAACCCAACACACUUUACGCAACGAAUCCUUGGUCGUGCAAAGUGUGUUAUAAAUGCGCGCUAUAAAUGGGAGCAUUUAAUGCGUGGCUGAUCGUCUUCAGCAACACUUUGCUUGACGAAUAUGUAGAAAAACUUGAUGCGCAAACUUUUGGCCAAAUUUUAUUUACUCGCCUUUUCUUGCGUGACGAACAAUAGUAAUCGUCGUGCUAAGUCCUCUUGCGCGACGAAACUAUUCAUCGCACAAAGUUUUUUUUCUUUGAAUUCUUCCGAUGUUUGUGUGACGUAAGUAUGUUUCCAUCAUGCAAGGUGCGGCCAUAUGAUAGGAGCAUAUUUAUGCGACUUAGUUAGCUUGUUCUUGUGCAUUUACGUUGUAUUUCCUUAGUUAUUUAGUGUUUAAAGUUAUUUUUGUGUGUUUUCAGACUCUAAGUACAAAGUAUGCAAGAUGAUGCAUUUUGGAGGCCUUUGGAGCAGUUUCGGGCUUGGAAUGGAUAGCAAAUGCAUGGGCCAAAGUGGAUGGACGAAUUUGAGAACUAAAGAGGCCAAGAAUGUGAAGAAUUAUGGUCCAAAAGAUGAAGAACUCAGCCCAAAAUUCUGUCACCCCAACUUGCCUUCAUUACCGUGCAAAAUAACAUAGAAUUCCCUUUGGAUUCCCAUGCCAUGCUUGAUCACUCUUGUCCCCUACAUAAUUUCUAAUUUCAUGCUUCAAUUCAUUUAAUUAUUACACUCAAUUGCUUGAUACCUCUUGUUCCCUUCACCCAUCAGAUUUUAUACACCCUUUACAUCCAUUACAUGCACCAAUUGAUGCUCCAUCAUUCACAUUUGGAAUCCAAUGCCAUGUGCAACACAUGUUGCUGCACCUUUGACCCAUUUGUUGACACAUUUCACCUCCCUUUCCAUCUCUAUGCAAUGAACACAAUCAUUCAUGCUCCCUAGCUGCAACACCACUCCAUUUUACCCUUCACACUUUGCAUCAUUACUUGAUUUUCACCCUUGGACCAUUGCACACCACAAAACCCAUUCUUGCCGUGCACUUCAUCCCUGACCUAACCUGAUUCUCUAAGGUUUUUGGGGCCUAUAUAUACAUGUUUACACCCCUUGGCAAAGGGUUCACACUCUCAUAUUCACCAUUCAUCACAGAAAUUUGUCCAUACUCACCCUAGGCAGCAAAACACCCCAAAAACACCAUUCUAGUGCCCAGAAAAUAUCACAGCCACUCCACCUUCUUCCACCCUCUUUGCCGAAGUUCUCCACCACCCUUCCACCAUCAAACACUCAUCUACACUCACCAUAAACCUUUCCAUACCAUUCCCCAUCCAAUCUACACCAUAGAACUACCCAAAACCUGUCCACAAAUCAAUCUGCCACAAGCAAGGGAAAGGAGGAAUCUUGGAUGCACUUGCUGCCAAGUUGGAGCAUUCUAGGUGUUUUCUUUCUUUGGAUUUUAAUGUCUAAUUCAUGUAAUCUUUGUUUUGCUUUAAGUAUGAUUGGCUAAUUUCGUUUUGGCUAAGGGUGGAUUCAAAACCAUGAUCAUAUAUGUGAAAUAAGUUGAUUACUUUCAGUUAUCGUUGUAUAAGUCGUGAAUACAAUUUGCUUAACCAUUUGAUUUAGAACUUAUUCUUGUAUGUUGGUUGAGAGUGCACGCUUAAUUUGCAUGCUUGAAUUUGAUGCUAGGAUAUAAGUUUGUUUCACCUAAUCGUUAUGAAUUUAUAUUCGUAAGUAGUGAAGGUCGCUAGUCACGAUCGUGUUAAGUAGAUUCCUGGCAAGAGUAUCAUGCUUUUCAUAGUUACGAAUGCCUUGUCGAUGCUUAUGAUUUCCAAAGAACGUAAUGAUUCUAACUUGUGUCUUUAUCAUGCUGUUCAUAUAAAGAACUUGUUGGGAAUAAUUUGUUUGCGAUGCAUAUUCAUCCAAUUCAAUGAUUCUAGGGAAAUCUGAAGGUUAAUUUAAGCGGACCUAAUUAACUUGGAGUGUCGAGAUUCAUAACUUAUUAAAUUGAUAACUGAAAAUUGAUUUAGGUUGCAUAUAUUUCAUGUGUGGAGAAGAACCCCUUAGCCAUUCCAUCAUCCAUUGAUUAUUCAUAACUUUGUGUUACAAUCUGUUUCUAUUACAAUCUGUUGCAAAUUGGGCAGAUGGCGGAGUUCAUAGGCCAGCUUCGAGAAGAAGGGAAACUACCUAGCUCCACCAUUGCCAAUCCAAAAGGAGGCUUUGAAUCUGCCAAGGCAAUUACAUUGAGAAGUGGAAAAGAGGUAGGAAUUGAUCCAAAACCAUCCAAAUCAAGCCAAAAAGAGGAUGAGAAGUUGCAAUUCGAAGAGGAGGAACAAGACAAGGCCACGGCAAUGAAGGAAACAACCUUGCCGCAGCCUCCUACACUCCCUAAUCCGUCCAACACAGGUAAGAUAGGUCCAAUUUCUGUUACUUCUAACCUUAUUCCACCCAAUGUACCUUUUCCUCGCAGAUUUAUGCAAUCAAAGAAGGAAGAAAGUGACAAGGACAUUCUUGAGACAUUUAGGAAGGUUCAAGUCAAUAUCCCACUCUUGGAUACAAUUAAACAAGUCCCAAAGUACGCCAAAUUCUUGAAAGAACUUUGCACAACAAGGAUGAGGAUUUCGAACAAGGAGGUGGUAAAGGUAAGUGAGAAUGUUUCAGCCGUCUUGCAACGAAAACUGCCCCCUAAAUGCAAAAAUCCGGGUAGUUUUACAAUUCCUUGUGUUAUAGGCAAUACUCAAUUUGAACAUGCCAUGUUACACUUAGGUGCAUCCAUUAAUGUCAUGCCCUAUUCAAUUUAUGCAUCUAUGAACUUGGGUGAGUUGAAAAAUGUGAUUAUUCAAUUAGUCGAUCGAUUUAAUGCUUAUCCAAAAGGAGGUUUGGAGGAUGUUUUGAUGCAGGUUAAUCACUUAAUCUUUCCGGCUGAUUUCUAUGUGCUUGAGAUGGAAGAUUCGACCCAUUCCUCCUCAUUGCCAAUCCUACUUGGAAGACCAUUCAUGAAAACAGCCCGCACCAAGAUAGAUGUGUUCAAGGGGACGUUAUCCAUGGAAUUUGAUAGGGAAGUUAAUGAUUUCAAUCUUUCUGAAACUAUAAAGUAUCCUAGUGAUGAUCAUUCUUGUUUUUCUAUUGAUAUAAUUGAUUAAUUGGCGUAGCAAUACUUUGAAGAUUUGAAUGAGGAUGCCCUUGAAACAACCAUUACGAAAGGAAUAGGCCUAAAAAACAACGAGGCAGAAUCUAUGCUCACCCACAGCAAGCAUGAAGACAUCCAUGUCGUGCACCCUAGUGAAGAAAUAGUUGAGAUGGUGGCUGCCCUAGAAUCAUUGCCACAACAAAAUGGUAAGCUUUUGAUCCACUUUCAAGUUCAGUUUCGACUAAUAAAAUGCUACCCUCAGUAAUUCAAGCACCCUCCCUUAAACUUAAACUGUUUCCAAGCCAUUUGAAGUAUGUUUUCUUGGGAGAACAAGAGACUUUGCUCGUCAUAGUUGAUAGGAGCAUAUUUAUGCGACUUAGUUGGCUUGUUCUUAAGCAUUUAUGUUGUUUUUCUUUAGUUAUUUUAGUGUUUAAAGUCAUUUUCGUGCAAUUUCAGGUUUAGAGACGAAGUAUGCAAAGAAGUGCAAAAUGGAGCAUUUUAGAGCAAAAUUGAGCUAGAAUGGAGUGUAUGCUAAUGGAGCACAAGGAAUGGACGAGUUUAAAGGUCAAAGGAGCUUAAGAAAUGAAGAAAUGACAGUGAAGAACAAAGAAUUCAGAUUUGGAAACAAAGUUUCUAAAGUUGGAAGUUUCUAUUCUUGGAGGUUUCCAUUUUCGAGAGUUUCUAUUCUUGGUUUUGGGCUUUUAGAUGACUUAAACCCUAAUUCCUUGUGGACCCUAACCCUAGCCGCACCUAGGCCUCUAGAAUAUCUGAUUUCCUUGCCUUGCAAGGCAUUCUAGAAGGCCCAUCUCUAAACCCUAACCCUAGCCGCACCUUAGGCCUUAUUCCCACUAAAAAUCUGAUUGUUUUAACCUAAUUUCUGGUGGAUUUGGGCUUCUAGAAACCCUAAUCUGAUUACCCUAGGGUUUUGGAUGCCUAUAUAUACUCAUUAUAACCCCUAGAUCAGAUGACCACCUCUCAUACACAAUCAUUCACGCCAGAAAUCUGCCCUUGCAUUCUGCCGCACCUUCCCAUCACCAAAAUCCCAAAAUUCUGCCCAAAAAUCAUCCCUAGCCGUACCCCCAUCAACCCUAAACCUUUCCCUACCAUUCCCCAUCCAUUCUACACCCUAAAUACUACCCAAAACCUGUCUAAACUUCUCUGCCGCAGCAAGGAGGAAAGGGAAAUCAUUGAUGAUCUUGCUGCCAAGUUGGAGCCUUCUAGGUGUUUUCUUUCUUUGGGUUUUAAUUUCUAAAUUUAUGUAUCUUUGCUUUGCGAGUAUGAGGAACUAAACCCCCCUUGGCUAGGGGGGGAUUCGAAACCAUGUUUAUGCUUGCUAUAUGAUUUGAUUACUUAUAAUUGCGUUUCAUAAGUUGUGAUUUCAAUUUGCUUAUCUAUGUGACUUAAAACUUAUUCUUGUAUGUUGAUUGAGGGUCGACACUUAGUUUGCAUGCAUGAAUUUGAUGCUCGGAUAUAAGGGAAUUUCACCUAAUCGUUAUGAACUUAUAUUCACAAGUAGUAAAGGUUGUUGAUCACAAUCCUGUUAAGUAAAUUCUUGGCAUAAGUUUCAUGCAAUUCAUAGUUACGAGUGCCUCGUCAAUGCUUAUGGUUUUCAUAGAACUUAAUGAUUCUUGCUUGUAUCUCUAUUAUGCAAUCAUGUAGGGGACUUUGUUGGAAGUAUGCCCACAAAGCCACUCAUUUGAUGUAAUAGCUUUUGGAAUACUUAUUGUAUUAAACUUUUAUAUGUUUAAUGAAGGGCAAAGCUUAUUGUUAAUCACUAUUUAUUGUAUCAUGUGUUUAAGCAAUAAGGGAAUCCAAGGAAUGUAUUUGUUCUAAGAGAGAAGUGAUCUAAUGAGUUAGAUUAUCGAGACCUCUCUCUUAUGAUCAUUCCUAAAACGUUCUUAGCCAUAGGAUUGCCAAUUGGGCAUUGACAAUCCGCUAAGGUUAGUAUGUGUUAUGUUGACUCAAACGUGAGUAUGAACUAGUCUCAAGUCAUUUGGUGUUGGACACUGAGACAAACACAUAGGUGCUCGAAAGAGUAAUCGAGUACACUGAACGUCGAUCAAAAGAGAGUUCGAACAUACAUGUCAUGUAUGAACUCUAAAGUUGCAAUAUGCAAAGUAGUCCUUUGACCUGAGGCAUCAUAGAUGUCUAAUGGUUAGGUCCUUGAUCUUUGAUCAUGUCAAUGGCAUUCCUUCGGAUUGUCCACGGCAUUGUUGGGGUCAAGCUAUCUAGUCAUGUAGGCAUAUGAAUGCACAACAAGGGAUCUCUAACCUUCCAUGGUGGAAGGAGAAUACUCUAAGAUAUGAUUCUAAACUCUUUGGCCAAAGCAUAUGAAUAUGACUUAGGAAGUUUGUUCCAAAUCAUAUUCAAAGGAAUCAUAUAGGAAAGUAUCACAUUGGAUAGUAGACAUGAAAAAACAAACUAUCACUUAAACAAUGUGAUUAAGAGUAUUGUAUUAGAGAAGGACCGUAUUGCAUUGUAGUUGUAACUGGAUAGGUUCUCCAAACCAAUUCUACUUAGCUUGGGUAACCAUGAUAUGCUGCUAGGUGUCACUCAUGGUUUGUGGAAGCCCUGAAGAUUAGCAAGCACUAAUCUUAAGGGAGAAUUGAAAUGUGUGGUUUCAAUUCACAAUCGAUCGUUAAGAGUAACAUCGCCCACUGCCUCGCUAAUUGGAACCUAAUGGAUCGCACACCACAUAAGGAUGUUAGUGAAGAAAUUAUAUGAAAUGGAUAAGCAAUUAAAUGGUUUAAUUGAAGAAUGGUCAAGAUUAAUUAAUUAGUUAAUUAAUUAUACGAAAGGUUCGUAUUGGGCUUAUAUGUUGGUUUUGGGUUUCGGGGCCCAAAAGUGUUUUGGUCCACAAGGCCCAUUAUGUUUAAGUUGUAUGACAACUAAAACAAAAUGGGCAAAUUAGCCCAAUAACAAGGAGAGGCCGGCCAUUAGGGUGAAUGGGCAAGCUUGCUUAAUUGCAAGUUUGCCACUCACCAAAGAAAAAUGUUAUAAAAAGCAACUUUAUAUAGCAAUUUUCUCAUUAGGGUUUUCUAAUAGAAAUUGGGUGAAACAUUUUUCUCUCUUUUUCUACAUAGAGGCCGGCCACUUAGAGGAUUUUUACUAGCAUCUAAAAUCUCUCUAAGUCAUCCAUAUCAUCUUCACAAUAUACAACCUUGGUGAAGAGACUUAGAGACAUCAAGCUUUUGAUGUUUUUGGAGAACAAAUCCUUUUUUCCUCUAAUCAUCAAAGGAGCACUAAAGGGAGGAAAACACAAGGAGGAUUCAAGGAGCUUGGAGGUGACUUGAAGGCCCUCCACUUGGGUGAAUCCCUUGUGUAAACAAGGAUGAGCUUCAAGGGUAAAGAAUCACUAAAUCUUUACUUCUCUUUAAUUUUGUUAAAGAGUUUAUUUUGGUUCACCAUAUACUAGGCUUUGAAAGUCAUGGGUUUUAUGAAUUGUUUUUGGAUGCAUGCCUACUUUAAAGUGUUGAUAGCUUGCAUGUGUAUUCAAAUGUUCAUACUUGUUCUUAGCUAGGACAAAAUUUUUCCUUCAGACUUGUGGGGAAUGCUUUGGGUUGUCGUAUGCAAUCAUCCAAUUCAAUAACGUUAGGAAAAUCUGAGGGUUAAUUUAAGCGGACCUAAUUAACUUGGGGCAUUGAGAAUUCAUGGGUUAUUGAAAAGCAAUUGGAAAUCGUUUUGAAUGCAAGUAUAACAUGUGUGGAGAUGAACCCCUUAGCUAGCUUUCUAUCCAUUCAAUUCAAUCAAAUUCGUUUUAAAAUCUGUUUUGAUUUACAAGUUUAUGUUUUGUUUUCAAUUUCGUAAAAACCAAAUCCCCCUUUGUUUUCAAGUGUCAAAUUAGUUAGAGAGUGUGUUAGUUUGUGUUUUUAAGUGUUUUGAGUCAAGUUAAAACCUAUUUUCGUCAAAAUCUUGUUUAGAGUUCAAAACUGCCCAGAAAGUGGUUUUAAGGCAGUUUUGAGUGUUUUUGUGUUAUUUUGAGUCUUUUGGUUUGUUUUGGUGUUUUAAGUUAUAGUUUUACAUUCUUUGAGUCUAGUUUAGUGUUUUAAACUUUGUUUUUACGUUUUUGAGUCAGUUUUCAAGUGAUUUAGCAAUCCCUCCUAAUCCCCGGCCUAGAACGAUCCCUACUUACAUACUUACUACAAUUGAUAAAAAGAGGGUUAAUUUGAGUGCUAGUUAAUAUCAUAUCAAAUUUUGGCGCCGUUGCCGGGGGAUUAGCAACUUUGCUAAUCCCUUGGAUUGUUAUUUUCGUUUUUCUUAUUAGAUCAGAUUCUUAUGUUAUUUUGUUUCUUGUUUUAGGUACUUGUUUAUGACUCGGAGUUCUAAUCCGGUUCACGAACAUAUUUUAGACUUUGACGACGAUUUUGAGCGUGAGUUGAGACGAAAGAGGAAGAACCCGGAACCUAGUGAAUCAAGUGCAGGUUCCGAGUCCGUUUCUGAAUUUGAAGAGGAAGUGGAAGACAUGGCAGCGGACAACCGAACGAUCAAGGAGCUUUCCGCUUCGGGAUUGGAUAAUGCCGCACCUCUAUGUAUCCAAUACCCUAGGGCGGCUCCGGACAAAACUGCCGAGUUCGAAUUGAAGUCAAGCUUGUUACAUCACAUUCCGAAGUACCAUGGGCUGUCCAUGGAAGAUCCGAACAAGCACUUGAAGGAGUUUGAAGUCGUUUGCUCAAGCAUGACUCCGGUGAACGUGGAUGAGAGCAUCUUGAAGAUGAAGGCCUUUCCCUUUUCUCUCCUAGACAAGGCGAAAGAUUGGUUGUACGAAUUGGCUCCCGGAACUGUCACAUCAUGGGAGAGCAUGAAACGAGCUUUCUUGGAGAAGUUUUUCCCAACUUCUCGAGUCAUCCUCCUACGUAAAAGGAUAAGUGGCAUUCAACAAGAUGAAGGUGAAUCCUUUCCUACUUAUUAUGAACGUUUUAAAUCUCUUGUUGCUUCAUGUUCACAGCAUCAAAUGAAGGAGGAACUACUUCUACAAUACUUCUACCAGGGACUUCUACCAAUUGAACGUCAAAUGUUAGAUGCCUCAGCGGGAGGAGCAUUGGUGGACAAGACCCCUACGGCUGCAAAGAUGUUGAUUGCUAAUCGAGCGUUGACGCUCAACAAUACGAAGGUGUUGGACAAAGGAGCAUGCCACGGCAACAUCAAGUCAAUGAGGUAAGUGCCAUAACCGAACUUCAAAAUCAAAUGGCUAACCUUACUACGUUGCUUUCUCAGGUGGUGGAAGGUCCAAAAAUCAAACCCGUAGCUUCUUGUGGCGUAUGCUCCAUGCAAAACCACAAUACGGACAAGUGCCCACAGUUGAUCGAGAAUGGAGGGUGGGAGACACUCAAUGCCGUGGGAUAUGGCAACCAAUACCAAUCACGAGGUGAUCCGUUUUCCAAUACUUACAAUCCCGGUUGGCGUGAUCAUCCGAAUUUCAAAUGCCGAGACCCACAACAAGGCCAACAACAAAGCGGAUUUAGGCAACAACCCCAGGGUUUCUAUCAAAAGCCGUUGGCACCACCACAAGCCCAAGCACAACCUGCCCAAAGCAAUGCAGGUAAUUCAAGUGAUAAUGAUAAGAUUUUUCAAUUACUUAUUACCUUGACGCAGGAAGUCCAAAAUCAAGCCAAAGAGAGGCAAAUCCAAGACAAGAGGGUGGACAACUUGGAGAAGCAAGUGGGACAAAUUGCCGAGUUCAUAGGGCAAUUUCGUGAGCAAGGAAGGUUGCCUAGCUCAACGGUGGUCAAUCCGAAAGGUGGAUUCGAAUCUGCAAAGGCUAUCACGCUAAGAAGUGGGAAAGAAGUAGGAAUCGAGCCAAAACCAUCCAAAUUUGGCCCCAAGGAGGACGAGAAGUUGAAAAUUGAAGAGGAAAACCAAGCAAAGGCCACGGCAAGGAUUGAGCAAUCAUUGCCGCAACCACCCAAGCAUUCCAAUUCGGCCAACACAGGUAAGAAAGGUCCAAUUCCAUUUAAUUCUAAUGUUAUUCCUCCGGAUGUACCCUUUCCUAGCAGAUUUUUGCAAUCCAAGAACGAAGAGGAGGUAAAAGAUGUUCUAGAGACAUUUAGGAAAGCUCAAGUCAACAUACCCCUUUUGGAUGCAAUCAAGCAAAUCCCGAAGUAUGCCAAGUUCUUAAAGAAGCUUUGUACAACAAGGAAACGUUUGAUAGGAGCAUAUUUAUGCGCCUUAGUUAGCUAGUUCUUAUGCAUUUUAGUUAUGUUUUCUUAGUUUAAAGUAGUCUUUUAAGUUACUUUCAUGUGUUUUCAGGUUCAAAGGGGCAUAAUACAUAAAAGAUGGCAAAAUGGUGCAUUUUAGAGCAAAAGUGAGCUUGGAUUGAAAAGUACAUGCUUGGAGCACAAGGAAUGGACGAGUUUGAAGGUCAAGGGAGCUUAAGAAAUGAAGAAAUGAAGGUGAAGAACAAAGAAUUCAGAAUUAGAAACCAAAGUUUCUAAAGUUGGAAGUUUCUAUUCUCGGAGGUUUCCAUUUGUGAGAGUUUCUAUUCUUGGCUUUGGGCUUCUAGAUGACCCAUCCUUACCUCUUGGACAAGGCCGCACCUUCCUAGCCCAAUUCAUCUUGGAUCCUCACUUAGGCCCAUUGCAUAUUUCUGACUUCUAAGCCUUUGCCGCACCUAGGCCCCAAAAUAUCUGAUUUCCUUGCCUUGCAAGGCUUUCUAGAAGGCCUAUCCACACUCCCACCAAAUCUGCUGCACCCUAGCCCUUUUCCCAUGCAAAUUCCUAUUGUUUUAACCUAAUUUCUGGUGGAUUUGGGUUUCUAGAAACCCUAAUCUGAUUGCUAGGGUUUUUAAGUGCCUAUAUAUACUCAUUCUAACCCUUUGGCCGAACUUACCACUCCCCAUCUAAUUCAUUCACGCCAAAAACCCUAGUUACAUCCUUGCCGCAGCCUUUCACCCUAAAACUUCCAUAUUUCUGAUUUCUACACCAUUGCCGCACCAUCCCCUUCCCCAAACCAUUCCUACAUCCUUCCAUAACCAUUCAUCCACCUUGUGCAGCCACCAAAUGAGGAGAAAGAAGGAGUGCCGUGCAGUCCAAAGGAAGGAGAAGCCUUGCACAUGCAAUCUGCCAUUAGUGGAGUGUUUGGAGUUCUUUCUUUCUUUGUUUCUGUUUUCAUGUUUAAUUUAACUUGCCUUUCAAUUAUGUUAGACAUGUGGAACUAAUUUCUUUUUAGUUAGAGGUGAAUUUGAAGCCAUGGACAUAUGUUUUAUAUGAUUUGAUUUCUUCCAAUCAUGAUUUCAGAAAUUGUGAAUGUGAUUUACUUAUCUAUUGGAUUGAUAACUUGUUUAUGUAUGUGGUUGAGGGUCGACACUUAAUUUGCAUGCCUAAACUUGAUGCUAGGAUAUAAGAGAAUUUCACCUAAUCGUUAUUAACUUAUAUUCAUAAGUAGUGAAAGUCGCUAGUCACGAUUGUGUUAAGUAAAUCCUAGGCAAUAGUAACAUGCGUAUCCCAUAGUUAUGAAUGCCUCGUCAAUGCUUAUGAUUUCCAUUAAACUUAAUGAUCUUUGAUAUGUGUCUCUAUCAUGCGUAUUCCAUAGUUAGGGUCCUUGAUAAGAAUAAUUUGGUUGUAAUGCGUAUUCCAUUCAAUUCAAUGAAUCUAGGGAAAUCUGAGAAUUAAUUGGUGCAAUCUAGUUAAUUUGGGGCAUUGUCAUUCAUGGUUUGUUGAAAGAGUAAUUGGAGAUCAAGUUGUAUGCAUAUGUUCAUGUGUGGAUAAGGAACCCUCUAACUAGCUUCUCACCAUUCUAUUUAAUCACAAUCUGUUUUGCUUUACAUUUGUUUUUAAAGUUUGAGUUUUAAAGUUUUAAUUUCGUUAAAAUCAUUCCCCCAUUGAUUUUAAAGUGUUAGAUUAGUUAGAAAUCCAUUUAGUUGUGUUUUUAAGUGUUUUGAGUCAAGUCAUAGUCCAAAUUCGUCCAAACUAGUGUUAGGUACUCAAAACUGCCCAGAAAGUGGUUUUAAGGCAGUUUUGAGCCUUUUAGUUGCUGUUUUGAGUUUUUGGUUUGUUUAGGUGUUUUAAACCCUAGUUUUGCAUUAAUUGAGUCUAGUUUAGUGUUCUACAUUAUAUUUUUAUGUUCUUGAGUCAGUUUUACAUUGAUUAGCAUCCCUAGUUAAUCCCCGGUUAGAACGAUCCCUAUUUGCUCAUAUACUACAAUUGUCAUCCAUAGGGUUUAAUUUGUGUGUCAAUUUAAUUCUCACAUCAACGUUUUUGGGAGAAAGAAGUGGUACAUGUAAGUGAGAAUGUCUCCGCCAUGUUGCAACGCAAACUACCCCCCAAAUGCAAAGAUCCGGGUAGUUUUACAAUUCCUUGUGUCCUUGGUAACACUCGCUUUGAUUCCGCCCUGUUAGAUUUAGGUGCAUCUAUAAAUGUCAUGCCAUAUUCAAUUUAUGCAUCUAUGAAUUUAGGCGAGUUGAAAAAUGAUGGCGUGAUUAUUCAAUUGGCCGAUCGAUCUAAUGCCUAUCCAAAGGGAGUUUUGGAAGAUGUUUUGGUGCAGGUAGACCACUUGAUUUUCCCGGCAGAUUUCUACGUGCUCGAUAUGGAGGAUACAGGAUUCUAUAGACGAUUCAUCAAGGACUUCUCAAAAAUUGCACAACCCCUUUGCCAUCUCCUUAAAAAAGAAGUGCCAUUCAUGUUCAAUGAGGAAUGUGAGAAGGCCUUCAAACACCUCAAGGAAUUGCUUACUUCGGCCCCUAUCAUAAUUCCACAAGAUUAGAGUCUUCUUUUUGAGCUCAUGUGUGAUGCCUCAGAUUAUGCAAUUGAAGCUGUUUUAGGCCAAAGAAAGAACAAGUAGCCACAUGUCAUCUAUUAUGCUUCCCGGACCUUAAAUGAUGCUCAAUUAAACUACUCCACCACUAAAAAAGAACUCAUUGUUGUUGUGUUUGCAUUAGAUAAAUUUCGUUCUUAUUUAAUUGGCACUAAAGUCAUUGUUUACACUGACCAUGCAGCUUUGAAGUAUUUGCUCACAAAGAAAAGAACCCAAACCAAGGCUUAUUCACUGGAUGCUUCUUCUCCAAAAGUUCGAUAUUGAAAUUCGGGACAAGAAAGCGAGUGAAAACGUGGUGGCUGACCACUUGAUCCGUUUGGUUCAUAAUGAGGAGUCAUUACCUAUCCCAGAAACGUUCCCUGAUGAGCAAUUGCUGUCCGUUAAGGUAAGUGAACCAUAAUAUGCAGAUUUGGUGAAUUAUUUGGUGUCUAAACAAGUCCCAAGUAUCCUAAACAAGCACCAACGUGAUAAACUUAAAAAGGAUGCACGAUUUUAUGUUUGGGAUGACCCAUAUUUGUGGAAAUAUUGCUCUAAUCAGAUUGUACGUAGGUGUGUGCAUGGGUCCGAAUUUCAUUCAAUUUAACUUUUUGUCACACAUAUACGUGUGGUGGCCAUUUUGGCACACAACGCACAGCACAUAAGGUUUUAGAAUGUGGAUUUUAUUGGCCUAAUGUCUUCAAGGAUGCUAGAACUUUUUGUAUUACUUGUGAUGUUUGGGGCAUUGAUUUCAUGGGUCAUUUUCCUUCCUCACAUGGUUUCCUUUAUAUUUUGCUUGCUGUGGAUUAUGUGUCAAAAUGGGUGGAAGCAAAAGCCACCUGUACUAGUGAUUCUAAAGUGGUUGCAUAUUUCAUUAAAACUAACAUAUUUGCAAGGUUUGGAAUGCCAAGAGUUCUCAUAAGUGAUGGAGGUUCUUAUUUUUGCAAUCGAACCAUCGAGGCGCUGCUCAAGAAAUAUAAUGUCACACAUAAGGUUUCAACACCUUAUCACCCUCAAACAAGUGGCCAAGCCGAGGUUUCGAAUAGGGAAAUCAAGCAGAUUUUGAAGAAGACCGUGGGACCAACUAGGAAAGAUUGGAGUAUGCAUUUGGAUGAUGCACUGUGGACGUAUCGUACAGCCUACAAAACACCCAUUGGCAUGUCCCAAUUUUGGCUCAUCUAUGGCAAACCAUGCCAUCUUCCCGUGGAAUUAGAGCACAAGGCGCAUUGGGCUAUCAAAACAUUCAACAUGGACAUAGAUACGGCUGGCAUUCAUAGGAAGCAUCAAUUGAAUGAACUUGAAGAGAUUAGGCACGAGGCGUAUGAGAAUGCUCGAAUUUACAAAGAAAAGACCAAGGCAUUCCAUGACAAGAUGAUUCGUAGCAAGACAUUCUCCAUUGGCCAGAAAGUGUUACUUUUUAAUUCCCGCCUUCGUUUGUUUUCGGGUAAGUUACGUUCUAAAUGGAUUGGCCCGUUUGUUAUUACUAAUGUCUUUCCCUAUGGUUCAGUCCAAAUCCAAAGUUUCAAGACCGGCCACGAAUUCAAAGUGAACGGGCAUCGUUUGAAGCCUUACUACGAUCUUUUUUAGGAGCAUGUGGUGGAGGAACUACCCCUCUAUGCCGUGGGGUCCAAUUAAGCUUAAGAUGAGCUUUCGUCCGGCUGCAAGACGUUAAAGCAAGCACUUCUUGAGAGGCAACCCAUGCAUUCAACUAGGGAACGAUGGAAUUCUCACUCCUAAACCAGAUUUGCAUCCCUAAAUCCUUCUCUUUACUGCAUUUCUUUUGCCAUGCUUGUCAUGCUUGUUCGUUGUGUUAUUUGCAUGCUUAUGUGUGAGUCUUUGUUUGCAACAUUGAGGGCAAUGUUUGGUUUAAGUGUGGGGGGGGGGGGUAAACAAGUGUUUUUGUUGCAAAUUCAUGGGUUUGUAUCACCUAGCACCACUAGAGUUGUUUCUCACUGUUUUUUAGUGUUUUUAGUGUAUUUUGAGAUGUUUUAAUGUGUCUUGAUAGAAAAAUAUGAAAAUUUGAAAAAAAAAAAGUUAGAAAACAUUUUGAAAAACCUAAAAAAAGUGUUUUAGAGUUGUUUUUGUGUGUUUGUGCCUUAGGGUACCUUCCAACACAAUGAUGAGGAUUCAGUUUUUAAUUGCAUGACUGUUAAAAAAAGCUACAAACAUGGAUGGAAGUUUGAUAAGCUCUUUGGUUAAUACUUGAUUAUAGUUGACGUUUACAAAUUCACAUGUAAUUACAAAGGAAAAAAAAUUCCAGUUUUUGUAACAUGCUUGAAGGAAGGAACUCAAAAUAACGCUACAACCUUGAGAGACUUGUGCCUAAACUUUAUUUGGAGAGUUAUUAAUCUGUGAUGUUUUUGUUUUCUAAAGUCGUUGCAUGAUCUCAUUAUUUCUUUGCUUGGUUGCUACUUAGACUGUGUUUUUCAUCAUUUUAAGUUCCAAAUACUAAAACUCAUGCCCGUUUCAUUCAAAGCUUAAAAUUGAGUGCAUAACAUAUAACAAGAUGAAGUUGUUUAGUAGUUACCACUAGAGCCAAAAAGCCUUCAUCCCAUGCAUUUGUUUUGUAGGUUUAACCCAUUUGAGCCUUGUUUAGCCUAUUUUCUUUGUUAGCCACAUUAUCCCUACCUAGCCUAGAAUAGGACUAUCCAUACCCUUGUUCUUAAACUGUAGUGGAGCAUAACUUAGAAGGAAUUCCUUUUGAUGAACAUUAUGCAGAAAAAAAGUGUGGGGGAAGGGUUUUCAAAGUGUGUUUUGUGUACCAAAGUGAAAAGGCACAGGUUUGAAAGAAAGAAAAAGAAAAGAAAAAUUUGUGUGAAAAGAAAGAAAAUGAGUUGAAAAUAAGUGAGAAUGAACUCAUAAGUAUUGGUUGUUGAAGAAAGGGUCCAAAAGUGUGAAUCUGGCCCUAAGUGUUUUGUUAAUCUUCCCUUUGUGCUUAAGUGGAUUUUUGCAUUCAAAAGUGAAUUCUAAGUGUCAAUUUCAUUACCUUGCUUACUAUUGCUUUAAGAACGUUUGUCUAUCCUUACCUUUGGUUGUUAGCCAAUACCCUAGCCCCGUCACAAACCUUAGACUUCAAUCAUGGGUGUUAUGUGUUUUAAUCUGUGGAGUUUGAAAUUGAUAUGAGCAUAUGGAAUCCCUGGUUCUCGCUUCUAUGUUGUGGCAUUCUAUUCAUGAGAUCAUAUAUAUAUAUAUAUAUAUAUAUACACACACACACACACACACAUGCAUUAAUAAUUCCAGAAAGUGCCUUCUUUGAUUAUAACAUAUGUGAGUGACUAGUCUACAUGUUUACAUCAAUCUUCUCACAUAUACCUAGUAUUUGGAGUGUAGUCAGAAAAUCUAUGUGAAAAUAGAGAGUAUAUUUGGUGCGGAAUUGAGGGAAUUCUCUAAGGCAUGUUACUACAUUCAAAACCUAUGUGAGUGGUGACUAUGAUUAAGUGUGUGCUCGAGGGUAAGGAUUGCUAAAAUAUAUGUGAGUAGUGAUUUUUAAUAUGUCAUGUUUCAUUGGAAAUCCCUGAGGCAAACGUUGGAAGGUCUCGGUUAUGUUUUGUUUGUUUCGUUUGUUUUGUUUUGCUCGAGGACUAACAAAAGCUAAGUGUGGGGGAAUUUGAUAGGAGCAUAUUUAUACGACUUAGUUAGCUUGUUUUCUUGCAUUUAUGUUGUUAGUUCAUAGUUAUUUUAGUAUUUUAAGCUAUUUUCGUGUGUUUGUAGGUCCAAAGAGCUAAAGUAGCAAGAAAGUGCAUUUUGGAGCAUUUUUGGGCUUGGAAUGGAUAGCACAUGCAUAGAGCAAGUUGGAUAGACAAAAUUGAAGACCAAAAGAGGCUAGGAUUAUGUUGAAGUUAUGAAGAAAUUAAUUCAAUAAAAGGAAGGAAGGAUGCAAGCAAAAAAGAAGGAAUGUUAGCCAAGUUACCUUAUUUUGUCCUAAACUUUCCUAAUCCUAAUUCACCUAUGUUCCAGCUACAAAGGGGUGUCCUAAAUACUUUAGGACACUUAAUUACAUGUUUCUAGAAGACCUAAUCCCUGCCACAAAGGGUGCCACACCUUUCUUCCCUUUCCUUUUUCCCUUGCCGUGCAAGGGAUCCUCCUUUCCUCUUUUCCUACCCUUGUCGCAUAUCCUUUUUCCUUGUGGACUUAGAAUUAAAAUCCUUCUAAAAUAAUUAAAACUUUCUUUUCUCUUUCCCUUUAAUUAUGCCGCACCCUAGCCUUAAUUCCCUAGGGUUUUGACAUACUUGGCUAUUUUUAUUUAAGUUCCUUGUCGCAGCCUUCCUUCAACCAUUCAUUACCAUUCAUACUUUCAGCAAUUCUCCCAUACAAUUCAUCACUCAAACCUUCACCCAUACCUUGUGUCGUAGCAAAGAACAAGAAGGAGGACCCUUGGACGUGCUUGCCAUUCAAGUUGGAUUGCUGGAACGUUUUUAGGUGUUUUCAAUCUUUUGUUUUCAAUGUCUAUGUUUAUGUAUCUUUGUUUUGCGAACAUGAGGAGCUAAACUCGUUUUAGCUAGGGGGAAAUUCAAAGCCAUGAACAUGUUUGCAAUAUGAAUUGAUUACUUCCAGUUAUGAUUUUAUAAAUCAUGAAUGCAAUUUACUUAACUGUUUGAUUCAAAACUUAUUCUUGUUUGUGGAUUAAGGAUGCAUACUUAGUUUGCAUGCAUGAAUUUGAUGCUAGAAUAUAAGGGAGUGUCACCUAAUCGUUAUGAACUUAUAUUCAUAAGUAGUGGAGGUUGCUAGUCACAAUCGUGUUAAGUGAUUUCUUGGCAAGAGUAUCAUGCUCAUCAUAGUUACGAAUGCUUUGUCAAUGUUUAUGAUUUUUAUAAAGCUCAAUGAUCUUUGAUUGUAUCUUUAUUAUGCUAUUCAUGUAGGGAACUUUUGAAGAAUAAUUUGGGUUGCCGAUGCAUUAUCCAUCCAAUUCAAUGACUUAAGGAAAAUCUGAGGGUUAAUUAGUGUUGUUCACGGUUAAUCAGGGGCAUUGAGGUUCAUGGUUUAUUGGAAAAGAAAUUGGAAAUCAAUUUGUAUGCAAGUGCCAUGUGUGGAGAAGAACCGUCUAGCUAGCUUAUCAAUUGUAGUAAGUAUGUAAGUAGGGAUCGUUCUAGGCCGGGGAUUAGGAGGGAUUGCUAAAUCACUUGAAAACUGACUCAAAAACGUAAAAACAAAGUUUAAAACACUAAACUAGACUCAAAGAAUGUAAAACUAUAACUUAAAACACCAAAACAAACCAAAAGACUCAAAAUAACACAAAAACACUCAAAACUGCCUUAAAACCACUUUCUGGGCAGUUUUGAACUCUAAACAAGAUUUUGACGAAAAUAGGUUUUAACUUGACUCAAAACACGUAAAAACACAAACUAACACACUCUCUAACUAAUUUGACACUUGAAAACAAAGGGGGAUUUGGUUUUUACGAAAUUGAAAACAAAACAUAAACUUGUAAAUCAAAACAGAUUUUAAAACGAAUUUGAUUGAAUUGAAUGGAUAGAAAGCUAGCUAAGGGGUUCAUCUCCACACAUGUUAUACUUGCAUUCAAAACGAUUUCCAAUUGCUUUUCAAUAACCCAUGAAUUCUCAACGCCCCAAGUUAAUUAGGUCCGCUUAAAUUAACCUUCAGAUUUUCCUAACGUUAUUUGAAUUGGAUGAUUGCAUACGACAACCCAAAGCAUUCCCCACAAAGUCCCCUACAUGAUUGCAUAAUAGAGAUACAAGCAAGAAUCAUUAAGUUCUAUGAAAACCAUAAGCAUUGACGAGGCACUCGUAACUAUGAAUUGCAUGAAACUUAUGCCAAGAAUUUACUUAACACGAUUGUGAUCAACAACCUUUACUACUUGUGAAUAUAAGUUCAUAACGAUUAGGUGAAAUUCCCUUAUAUCCUAGCAUCAAAUUCAUGCAUGCAAACUAAGUGUCGACCCUCAAUCAACAUACAAGAAUAAGUUUUAAUUCACAUAGAUAAGCAAAUUGAAAUCACAACUUAUGAAACGCAAUUAGAAGUAAUCAAAUCAUAUAGCAAGCAUAAACAUGGUUUCGAAUCCCCCCCUAGCCAAGGGGGUUUAGUUCCUCAUACUCGCAAAGCAAAGAUACAUAAAUUUAGAAAUUAAAACCCAAAGAAAGAAAACACCUAGAAGGCUCCAACUUGGCAGCAAGAUCAUCAAUGAUUUCCCUUUCCUCCUUGCUGCGGCAGAGAAGUUUAUAACAGGUUUUGGGUAGUAUUUAGGGUGUAGAAUGGAUGGGGAAUGGUAGGGAAAGGUUUAGGGUUGAUGGGGGUACGGCUAGGGAUGAUUUUUGGGCAGAAUUUUGGGAUUUUGGUGAUGGGAAGGUGCGGCAUAAUGCAAGGGCAGAUUUUUGGCGUGAAUGAUUGUGUAUGAGAGGUGGUCAUCUGAUCUAGGGGUUAUAAUGAGUAUAUAUAGGCAUCCAAAACCCUAGGGUAAUCAGAUUAGGGUUCUAGAAGCCCAAAUCCACCAGAAAUUAGGUUAAAACAAUCAGAUUUUUAGUGGGAAUAAGGCCUAAGGUGCGGCUAGGGUUAGGGUUUAGAGAUGGGCCUUCUAGAAUGCCUUGCAAGGCAAGGAAAUCAGAUAUUCUAGAGGCCUAGGUGCGGCUAGGGUUAGGGUCCACAAGGAAUUAGGGUUUAGGUCAUCUAAAAGCCCAAAACCAAGAAUAGAAACUCUCGAAAAUGGAAACCUCCAAGAAUAGAAACUUCCAACUUUAGAAACUUUGGUUUCCAAAUCUGAAUUCUUUGUUCUUCACUUUCAUUUCUUCAUUUCUUAAGCUCCUUUGACCUUCAAACUCGUCCAUUCCUUAUGCUCCAUUAGCAUACACUCCAUUCUAGCUCAAUUUUGCUCUAAAAUGCUCCAUUUUGCACUUCUUUGCAUACUUCGUCUCUAAACCUGAAAUUGCACGAAAAUGACUUUAAACACUAAAAUAACUAAAGAAAAACAACAUAAAUGCUUAAGAACAUGCCAACUAAGUCGCAUAAAUAUGCUCCUAUCAAAUUCCCCCACACUUAGCUUUUGCUAGUCCUCGAGCAAACAAAGAAACCAAACAAAACAAAAACACAAUCUAAACCUUCCAACAUUUGCCUCAGGGAUUUCCAAUGCACAUGACAUGUAAAAAAUCAUCACUCCCACAGAUUUUAGUCAUCUUCACACUUAAACACAUACUUAAUCAUAGUCACCACGUACUAGUUCACAUUUAACCAAUUAAAACAUGAUUUUGAAUGUAGUAACAUGCCUUAGAGAAUUUGCUCAAUUCCUUACUAGAUAUGCACUCAAUUUUCACACAGCUUUUCUGACUACACACCCUAUACUAGUUAUAUGUGAGAAGAUUGAUGUAAAUAUGAAAACGAAUGCUCACAUAUAUGUAUAACAAAGAAAGCACUUUUUGGAGUUAAUAAGCACGUUUAGAUAUAAUCUCAUGAAUGGAAUGCUACUACUUAGAUGCGAGAACCACAGUGACACCAUAUGCUCAUACCAAUUUUAAACUCCACAAAUUGAAACACAUAACACUCAAGAUUAAAGUCAAGGGUUGUAACGGGGCUAGGGGAGUUGGUUAACAACGAAAGGAUAGGGAAAACAAACGUUCUUUAAGCAAUAGUAAGCAAAACAAUGAAAUCGUACUCAGAAUUCCCAUUAGCAUGCAGAAAUUAACUUUUAAACACAAAGGGAAGACUCAACAACAAUUAGGGCCGAAUUCACUGUUUUGGACCCUUCCUUCAACAAACAACACUUAAGAACUCUUUUUCACAUCUUUUCAACUCCUUUUCAUUCUUUUCACAACUUUUUCUUUCUUUUUUUUUUCUUUUUAUUUUCCCACGAAAUUUUUCUUUUUCUUUUCUUUUUCGUGCCUCAUUCAGACUUUGGCACACCCACAACAAAACUCACUUCCCCCACACUUGUUUUCUGCCAACAAUGACCAAAAGGAAUUCAUUUUGAGUCAUUCAUUACUAUGCUUCAAGAACGAAGGUAUGGAUGGUCCUAAUCUAGGCUAGGUGAGGAUAAUGUGGGUUAACGAAGAAAACAUAGGCUAAACAAGGCUCAACGGGGUUAAAACCUACAAAAACGACUGCAUGGAAUGAAGGCUUUUUGCUAUGGUGGUAACUACUAACUUCAUCUUGAAUAUGUGUUAUGUAAUUCAAUAACAUGUUUUGAAUGAAAUUGGCAUGAGUUCUAGCAUUUGGAACUAAAUGAUGAAACGCCUUCUAAGUAAUAACCAAGCAAAGAAUAAUGAGAUCAUGCAACGACUUUAGAAAACAACAAUGCACAGAUUUUAACUCUCCAAAUAAACGUUUAGGCUCAAGUCUCACAAGGUUGUAGCGUUAGUUUGAGUUACUUCCUUCAAGCAUAUUACAAAAACUGAUUUUUUUCUUUGUGAUUAUAUGUGAAUUCGUAAACAACAACGAUGACCAAGCAUAAGCAAAAGAGCAUAUCAAACUUCCAUCCAUGUUUGUAACUUUCUUUAACGGUCAUGCAAUUAAAAACCAAAUCCUCAUCAUUGUGUUGGAAGGUACUCUACGACACAAACAAACAAAAACAACUGUAAAACGACUUUUUUUUUUGGGUUUUUUCAAAACUUUUUUCAAUUUUUUCUUGAAUUUUCGUAUUUUCUGGUAAAGCCACAUAAAAACACAUCAAAACUUUCUAAAAACACUUAAAAACAAUGAAAAACAACCUUUGAAAUGUUAGGUGGUAAAAUCCUACGAAUUUUGCAACAAAAACACUUUGUUCACCCCCCCACACUUAAACCAAACAUUGUCCUCAAUGUUUUAAACAUAGACUCACACAAAAACAAGCAAAUAACACAACUAGCAAACAUGACAAAUAUGGCAAAGUAAAAGCAAUAAAGAGUAGGGUUUAGAAACGCAAAUCUGAUGAUGAUGCCGGAGCUUCCUAGGUCCUCUUUAUUUGCAUGGGUUGCCUCCCAAGAAGCGCUUGCUUUAACGUCUUCCAGCCGGACGAUGCUCCAUUGAAGGUUUAUGGAACCCCACGGCAUUGAAGGUUGUUUCCACAAUCUGACCUACGAAAUACUUCAUCUUUUGGGUCCUUGAAUGGGAUAGGAUAAUGAUCCUUUCUUAUUGUCAUGUUUUGCUUCUCGAAAUCAACACGAACUCUCCCACCACGUUGUCUUCGAUUUGGUACCUGCACCAUACAAGGUAACAACCUAUUAGUUGAAAUGGGAAUCGAAAUUGGAAUAGAUGGCUUACCUUUGUACGGCAAAGAAAUGGUAGCACUCUGGACAGAUGCACAAGGAGUGCACUCGGCCAGAUUUGGUGACUUCAGGGGUGGGGCCGUGCUCCCCUUGUUGUUCACUCCAAUUCCUUCCUCGAUGGUAGUUCGAGGUACUUUCGUCUUGAUGAGUGUUGAACAUUCCUGCCCUAUAUUUGCAAUUACAUUAAUGGCACAACAAGAACGAACAACAUUAGGAGUCUCAAUAAAUUCAGAAACUUUAAAACAAAUCAUGUCACCACCAAAUGCCAUAGUGACUUCUCCUUUGGCCACGUCAAUCUUGGUUUGAGCCGUUUUCAUGAAAGGUCGGCCAAGCAACAGUGGUGGUGGUGGAGAGUGGCCUGUAUCCUCCAUAUCGAGCACGUAGAAAUCUGCCGGGAAAAUCAAGUGGUCUACCUGCACUAAAAACAUCUUCCAAAACUCCCUUUGGAUAGGCAUUAGAUCGAUCGGCCAAUUGAAUAAUCACGCCAUCAUUUUUCAACUCGCCUAAAUUCAUAGAUGCAUAAACUGAAUAUGGCAUGACAUUUAUAGAUGCACCUAAAUCUAACAGGGCGGAAUCAAAGGGAGUGUUACCAAGGACACAAGGAAUUGUAAAACUACCUGGAUCUUUGCAUUUGGGGGGUAGUUUGCGUUGCAACAUGGCGGAGACAUUCUCACUUACAUGUACCACUUCUUUCUCCCGAAAACGUUUCCUUGUUGUACAAAGCUUCUUUAAGAACUUCGCAUACUUCGGGAUUUGCUUGAUUGCAUCCAAAAGGGGUAUGUUGACUUGAACUUUCCUAAAUGUCUCUAGAACAUCUUUUGCCUCCUCUUCGUUCUUGGAUUGCAAAAAUCUGCUAGGAAAGGGUACAUCCGGAGGAAUAACAUUAGAAUUAAAUGGAAUUGGACCUUUCUUACCUGUGUUGGCCGAAUUGGAAUGCUUGGGUGGUUGCGGCAAAGAUUGCUCAAUCCUUGCCGUGGCCUUUGCUUGGUCCUCCUCUUCAAUUUUCAACUUCUCGUCCUCCUUGGGGCCAGAUUUGGAUGGUUUUGGCUCGAUUCCUACUUCUUUCCCACUUCUUAGCAUGAUAGCCUUUUGCAGAUUCGAAUCCACCUUUCGGAUUGACCACCGUUGAGCUAGGCAACCUUCCUUGCUCACGAAAUUGCCCUAUGAACUCGGCAAUUUGUCCCACUUGCUUCUCCAAGUUGUCCACCCUCCUGUCUUGGAUUUGCCUCUCUUUGGCUUGAUUUUGGACUUCCUGCGUCAAGGUAGUAAGUAAUUGAAAAAUCUUAUCAUUAUCACUUGAAUUACCUGCAUUGCUUUGGGCAGGUUGUGCUUGGGCUUGUGGUGGUGCCAACGGCUUUUGAUAGAAACCCUGGGGUUGUUGCCUAAAUCCGCUUUGUUGUUGGCCUUGUUGGGGGUCUCGCCAGUUGAAAUUCGGAUGAUCACGCCAACCGGGAUUGUAAGUAUUGGAAAACGGAUCACCACGUGAUUGGUAUUGGUUGCCAUAUCCUACAGCAUUGAGUGUCUCCCACCCUCCAUUCUCUAUCAAUUGGGGGCACUUGUCCGUAUGGUGGUUUUGCAUGGAACAUACGCCACAAGAAGCUACGGUUUUGACUUUUGAACCUUCCACCACCUGAGAAAGCAACGUAGUAAGGGUAGCCAUUUGAUUUUGAAGUUCAAUUAUGGCACUUACCUUAUUGACUUGAUGUUGCUGUGGCAUGUUCCUUUGUCCAACACCUUCGUAUUGUUGAGCGUUCAACACUCGAUUCGCAAUCAACAUCUUUGCAGCCGUAGGGGUCUUGUCCACCAAUGCUCCUCCCGCUGAGGCAUCUAACAUUUGCCGUUCGAUUGGUAGAAGUCCCUCGUAGAAAUAUUGUAAAAGAAGCUCCUCCUUCAUUUGAUGCUGUGGACAUGAAGCAACAAGAGAUUUAAAACGUUCGUAAUACGUAGGAAAAGACUCACCUUCAUCUUGUUGAAUGCCACUUAUCCUUUUUCGUAGGAGGAUGACUCGAGAAGUUGGAAAAAACUUCUCCAAGAAGGCCCGUUUCAUGCUCUCCCAAGAUGUGACAGUUCCGGGAGCCAAUUCGUACAACCAAUCUUUCGCCUUUUCCAAGAGAGAAAAGGGAAAGGCCUUCAUCUUCAAUAUGCUCCCAUCCACGUUGAUUGGAGUCAUGCUUGAACACACCACCUCGAAUUCUUUCAAAUGCUUGUUAGGAUCCUCCAUGGACAAACCAUGGUACUUCGGAAUGUGGUGUAGCAAACUUGACUUCAACUCGAAUUCCUCGGUCUUUCCUUGGGCAGCCGCUGGGUAUUGAAUGCAUAGGGGUGCGGCAUUGUCCAAUCCCGAAGCCGAAAGCUCCUUGAUUGUACGAUUGUCUUGUGCCAUAACUUCCUCUUCUUCACCCACUCUUGCCGUGGGUUGGUCCUCUUCUUCAAUGGGAUGUUCCUCACGCUCAGGUUCAGGAAUUUGAUCUUGUUGAUUCCUAUUCCUUCUCAAAGUCCUCUCAAAAUCGUCGUCAAAGUCCAAGAUGUGUUCACGAAUCGGAUGAGAACUCCGAGUCAUAAACUAGUACCUAAAACAAGAAACAAAACAAACUCAGAAUCUGGAACGAAUUAAAACAAACUAAAAUAAACAAUCCAAGGGAUUAGCAAUUGCUAAUCCCCGGCAACGGCGCCAAAAUUUGAUAUGAUAUUAACUAGCACUCAAAUUAACCCUCUUUUUAUCAAUUGUAGUAAGUAUGUAAGUAGGGAUCGUUCUAGGCCGGGGAUUAGGAGGGAUUGCUAAAUCACUUGAAAACUGACUCAAAAACGUAAAAACAAAGUUUAAAACACUAAACUAGACUCAAAGAAUGUAAAACUAUAACUUAAAACACCAAAACAAACCAAAAGACUCAAAAUAACACAAAAACACUCAAAACUGCCUUAAAACCACUUUCUGGGCAGUUUUGAACUCUAAACAAGAUUUUGACGAAAAUAGGUUUUAACUUGACUCAAAACACGUAAAAACACAAACUAACACACUCUCUAACUAAUUUGACACUUGAAAACAAAGGGGGAUUUGGUUUUUACGAAAUUGAAAACAAAACAUAAACUUGUAAAUCAAAACAGAUUUUAAAACGAAUUUGAUUGAAUUGAAUGGAUAGAAAGCUAGCUAAGGGGUUCAUCUCCACACAUGUUAUACUUGCAUUCAAAACGAUUUCCAAUUGCUUUUCAAUAACCCAUGAAUUCUCAACGCCCCAAGUUAAUUAGGUCCGCUUAAAUUAACCUUCAGAUUUUCCUAACGUUAUUGAAUUGGAUGAUUGCAUACGACAACCCAAAGCAUUCCCCACAAGUCCCCUACAUGAUUGCAUAAUAUAGAGAUACAAGCAAGAAUCAUUAAGUUCUAUGAAAACCAUAAGCAUUGACGAGGCACUCGUAACUAUGAAUUGCAUGAAACUUAUGCCAAGAAUUUACUUAACACGAUUGUGAUCAACAACCUUUACUACUUGUGAAUAUAAGUUCAUAACGAUUAGGUGAAAUUCCCUUAUAUCCUAGCAUCAAAUUCAUGCAUGCAAACUAAGUGUCGACCCUCAAUCAACAUACAAGAAUAAGUUUUAAUUCACAUAGAUAAGCAAAUUGAAAUCACAACUUAUGAAACGCAAUUAGAAGUAAUCAAAUCAUAUAGCAAGCAUAAACAUGGUUUCGAAUCCCCCCCUAGCCAAGGGGGGUUUAGUUCCUCAUACUCGCAAAGCAAAGAUACAUAAAUUUAGAAAUUAAAACCCAAAGAAAGAAAACACCUAGAAGGCUCCAACUUGGCAGCAAGAUCAUCAAUGAUUUCCCUUUCCUCCUUGCUGCGGCAGAGAAGUUUAUAACAGGUUUUGGGUAGUAUUUAGGGUGUAGAAUGGAUGGGGAAUGGUAGGGAAAGGUUUAGGGUUGAUGGGGGUACGGCUAGGGAUGAUUUUUGGGCAGAAUUUUGGGAUUUUGGUGAUGGGAAGGUGCGGCAUAAUGCAAGGGCAGAUUUUUGGCGUGAAUGAUUGUGUAUGAGAGGUGGUCAUCUGAUCUAGGGGUUAUAAUGAGUAUAUAUAGGCAUCCAAAACCCUAGGGUAAUCAGAUUAGGGUUCUAGAAGCCCAAAUCCACCAGAAAUUAGGUUAAAACAAUCAGAUUUUUAGUGGGAAUAAGGCCUAAGGUGCGGCUAGGGUUAGGGUUUAGAGAUGGGCCUUCUAGAAUGCCUUGCAAGGCAAGGAAAUCAGAUAUUCUAGAGGCCUAGGUGCGGCUAGGGUUAGGGUCCACAAGGAAUUAGGGUUUAGGUCAUCUAAAAGCCCAAAACCAAGAAUAGAAACUCUCGAAAAUGGAAACCUCCAAGAAUAGAAACUUCCAACUUUAGAAACUUUGGUUUCCAAAUCUGAAUUCUUUGUUCUUCACUUUCAUUUCUUCAUUUCUUAAGCUCCUUUGACCUUCAAACUCGUCCAUUCCUUAUGCUCCAUUAGCAUACACUCCAUUCUAGCUCAAUUUUGCUCUAAAAUGCUCCAUUUUGCACUUCUUUGCAUACUUCGUCUCUAAACCUGAAAUUGCACGAAAAUGACUUUAAACACUAAAAUAACUAAAGAAAAACAACAUAAAUGCUUAAGAACAUGCCAACUAAGUCGCAUAAAUAUGCUCCUAUCAAAUUGAUAGGAGCAUAUUUAUGCGCCUUAGUUAGCUAGUUCUUAUGCAUUUUCGUUAUGUUUUCGUCGUUAAAGUAGUCUUUUGAGCUACUUUCAUGUGUUUUCAGGCUUAAAGGGCAUAUGACAUAAAAGGAUGCAAAUUGGAGCUUUUUGGAGCAAAAUGGAGCUUAGAUUGGAAAGUACAUGCUUGGAGCACAAGGAAUGGACGAGUUUGAAGGGCAAAGGAGCUUAAGAAAUGAAGAACAAAGAAUUCAGAAUUAGAAACCAAAGUUUCUAAAGUUGGAAGUUUCUAUUCUUGGAGGUUUCCAUUUUCGAGAGUUUCUAUUCUUGGUUUUGGGCUUUCUAGAAGCCCUAUCUACAAACCCUAACCCUAGCCCACUAAUUUGCCGCACCUAGGCCUUUAAAAUUUCUGAUUUCCUUGCCUUGCAAGGCAUUCUAGAAGCCUAAACCCUAGCCCACUAAACCAGCCGAACCCUAGGCCUUUUCCCUUGCAAAAUCUGAUUGCUAGGGUUUUUAAGUGCCUAUAUAUAUUCAUUCUAACCCUUGGCCGAAGAGAGAUCACCCCCCAUAUCAUCCAUUCACUCCAGAAAAUCAUUCUAAACCCUUGCCACAACCACCAAUCCCAUUCUCCCUAGUUCUAAGUCCUUGCCGUGCCUCCCUAGUCCUUUUAACCCUUCUACCCUCUUCCAUAACCAUCCAUCCACCAUAGCCGUGCCUUCCCACCACCAUCACCACCUUGUGCAGCCACCAAAGGAGGAGAAAGAAGGAGUGCCGUGCAGUCCAAAGGAGGAAGACACCUUGCACAUGCAAUCUGCCAUUAGUGGAGUGUUUGGAGUUCUUUCUUUCUUUGUUUCUGUUUUCAUGUUUAAUUUAAAUUGUUGUUCAAUUAUGUUAGACAUGUGGAACUAAUUUCUUUUUAGUUAGAGGUGAAUUUGAAGCCAGUUAGAGGUGAAUUUGAAGCCAUGGACAUAUGUUUUAUAUGAUUUGAUUUCUUCCAAUUAUGAUUUCAGAAAUUGUGAAUGUGAUUUACUUAUCUAUUUGAUUGAUAACUUGUUUAUGUAUGUGGGUUGAGGGUCGACACUUAAUUUGCAUGCUUAAACUUGAUGCUAGGGUAUAAGGGAAUUUCACCUAAUCGUUAUUAACUUAUAUUCAUAAGUAGUGAAAGUCGCUAGUCACGAUUGUGUUAAGUAAAUCCUAGGCAAGAGUAACAUGCGUAUUCCAUAGUUAUGAAUGCCUCGUCAAUGCUUAUGAUUUCCAUUGAACUUAAUGAUCUUUGAUAUGUGUCUCUAUCAUGCGUAUUCCAUAGUUAGGGUCCUUGAUAAGAAUAAUUUGGUUGUAAUGCGUAUUCCAUUCAAUUCAAUGAAUCUAGGGAAAUCUGAGAAUUAAUUGGUGCAAUCUAGUUAAUUUGGGGCAUUGUCAUUCAUGGUUUGUUGAAAGAGUCAUUGGAGAUUGAGUUGUAUGCAUAUGUUCAUGUGUGGAUAAGGAACCCUCUAACUAGCUUCUCACCAUUCUAUUUAAUCACAAUCUGUUUUGCUUUACAUUUGUUUUUAAAGUUUGAGUUUUUAAAGUUUUAAUUUCGUCAAAAUCAUUCCCCCAUUUAUUUUAAAGUGUUAGAUUAGUUAGAAAUCCAUUUAGUUGUGUUUUUAAGUGUUUUGAGUCAAGUCAUAGUCCAAAUUCGUCCAAACUAGUGUUAGGUACUCAAAACUGCCCAGAAAGUGGUUUUAAGGCAGUUUUGAGCCUUUUAGUUGCUGUUUUGAGUUUUUAGUUUGUUUAGGUGUUUUAAACCCUAGUUUUGCAUUAAUCGAGUCUAGUUUAGUGUUCUACAUUAUAUUUUUAUGUUCUUGAGUCAGUUUUACAUUGAUUAGCAGCCCUAGUUAAUCCCCGGUUAGAACGAUCCCUAUUUGCUCAUAUACUACAAUUGUCAUCCAUAGGGUUUAAUUUGUGUGUCAAGUUAAUUUUCACAUCAGCCAAAAUCUGUUUAAGUCUUUAGUUUACUUGUUUUACCUCAAAUUCGUCCAAAACCCAAUCCCCUUUGCUUUGUUAAGUCAAAUUAGUUAGAAUAUGUCCACACUUGUGUUUUUAAGUAUUUUGAGUCAAGUAAAAGCCAAAUUUCAUCCAAAUAACUCCCUAGAAUCUGUUUUAAGUCUCUUUGAUUGUUUUGUGCUAUUUUGAGUUUUUUUAGUUUGUUUUGAGUUCUUUGAGUCUAGUUAGGUGUUUUCAAGCCUAGUUUUUAUAUUUUUGAGUCAGUUUUAAGUAGAUUAGCAAUCCCUCCUAAUCCCCAGCCUAGAACGAUCCCUACUUACAUCUUUACUACAAUUGUCAAUAAGAGGGUAUAAUUUGAGUGCUGUUUUAUUUCACAUCAGUUUAUAAGAAGAGUAACUGGAAAUCGAUUCGUAUGCAUAUGUGUCAUGUAUGGAGAAGGACCCUCUAGCUAGCCAUUCACCUUUAAAACACCCUAAAUUCGUAGCAAUUAGUUUGUUUUAUGCAAGUAACUUAGGUUAAGCAUUUGAUUCGUCAAAAACAAAACCCCCCUUUAUAUUUCGUGUUCUUAGUUUAGAAUCUGUCCAGUUGGUGUCUUUUUAAUGUUUUGAGUCUUUUUAGUUCAAAUUUGGUCCAAAGUCAUCCUUAGCGUUAGUUUUGAGUCAAUUUAUUUGUUUUGUGUAGUUUUGAGUAGUUUGAGUCAGUUUUGAGUCAUAAGAUUCUUGUUUAGUGUUUUUAAGUCUAGUUAAGUAUAAUUGAGUCUAAUUUGAGUAGAUUAGCAGUCCCUCUUAAUCUUCGGCCUAGAACUAUCCCUACUUGUCCAUACUACAAUUAUCAAAAAGAGGGUUUAAGUUUGAGUGCUAAUUUAUAUCACAUCACCCAACUGACGACGACAUCAACAAUGUCGCUGAGCAACAGCUAGAAUCUUCGAUGGAAAUUGGUGUGGAAACACUCCAAGAUACUAAUCUUAUCCAAGAACCAUUUCAGAUAGGAGUAUUUUCAAUUGAAAUACCGAUUCAAUCAAUCACUAUUGACCUCGGUAAUCUUCCGCGCUAUGAUGGUGACGUACCCAUCGAUGAUGAUGAGGAAUUGGACACUGAAAAUGAUGUGACGAAUAUUUCUUCAGAAUCAUUUGUUGUGAAUUUUCUUUGCCUCGAUACUAGCUGAAUAAGAAUAGUAACUGUAAUUAUAAUGUCUCGUGAGAAUUUUUUAUUAUUAGUAUCUGCAUUCAAUCGAUGCUGUAGAAACUAGAUGAUAAAGAUAAUGAUAAAGGCUGAUUAAACUGAUCCUACAUCCUAGUGAACAAAAAGGCCAAAAUACAAUGAAAAAUUAUCGCAUUGAACCCACGUAUGGUAAUAUUUUGAAUGGUGUAAAAUAAAGAAAACUAAAUUCUGCUAUUGGAUAUAUUAGCAAAUAUGUUAAGUUUUUUUCCAGUAAUUGUGGGACAAAUAAACCAGCAAACAAGUACCGUAUUUUUCUGCGAUGUAGUAAUUAUUGGGUUUCUCUCUUACAAGCAAUGCACUUGUUGAAUCACACAAGAAAAAUAUAAGAGAAUGAGAAUAAGUAGAAGUGUACAUGAUAUGUAAGUUUCUCUUCCAAACACAUUGCAUUAUAUUUUUCCUUUUGCGUUUCAUCAUUCUUGCAUCAUGUGAACUUAAAAACUGAAGAUACAAACGUAAGAAAGGUACUAAUCGUCUUCUUCUCUUUUUCUUCAAUCUCGUGGAUACGUAAUGGGAAUACAUGAAGCAUUUGGGUUACAUAAAACACUUAGAUUUCAUUGUUUGUCGAAGGGGCCACACACAGUGCCGCAUAUUUUGUACAUAUGGUUAGACUAUGAGUAUAAGGGUAGGUGUAGUUUGGCCGGAUGUUUGAGUUCAAUCCCACUUUGAUAGUAAAUCGUUGAUUAGCGUCAGGCCCGGCCCAGGCGCAGUGCAACAGGGGCAAUUGUCCAGGGCCCAAAGUUGAAUGGGGCACCCAAAAAACAAAAUCCAAAUAAUUAGGUAUAAAAAAAAAAUUUGUCCAAAGCCCAAAAUAAAGGUUGUAGGCGAUAACUUGUCCAGGUUUUGGGGAUUAAAAAUCAAUAUAACAUAAAGGGUAUCUGAAGGGGACAAGUCGUCCAGGUUUUGGGCAUGGAGGAGAGGCAUAAGAUUCAAGUUUUUCAAAGGGAGCUCCCUCUGCUUGGAGCUUGUCACCCAACUGCCUAAGCCCAAGGUACUACGGAGAACACAAACCCUUCUUAAAUUUCAGCUUAAUUUUUGUGUUCUAAGUCGGAAGCUUCGUUUCUUUUGCUUGAAUUGUUCUGGUUUCUGUUUUCAAAAUUGGGGUUUUUUUGUAGCUAUUGAGAGGUGCAAGCAGCAGAUUUCAGAUGCAACCGCAAAUUACCUGCAUGGACAAUCUAAGUGUUCUGAGCAGACUUCAAGUGAGGGGCAUGUUUUUGAGGAAUUCAUUCCAUUAACACGGAUUUCAUACAACUCCAGAUGCACCACUCGAAGAGGUAUAAAAAAAAGACUCCACCUUCAUCAAUUUUAGUAAAUUUUGUGACUGCCCUUUUGUUUGGUUGCUUAUAAAAUUUGAGGUGAAGAAGUGGAAAGUAUUGAUUUUUAGGUGUAGGGUAAUGGCAGGAGGAGCAAGUUAAAGGCUAUAGUGAUGGAGAUGAAGAGAAAUGGGGUGCUUUUCAGCCUUUCCAAAGGAAAAAAAAAGCAUUGGAAAGACAAAUUGACCAGUGGCUAAAGAACCUUCUUCGGCUCCGGCUACUAGUUCCACCACGGACACCGUGAAUGGAGACAGUGGUGGGAACAACAAGAACAAAGAGAAAGAUGGACAGGGAGACGAAGGCGAAACUGGUCACCGGAGUUGCACCGCCGGUUCUUGCAUGCUCUUCUCUUCAACAACUUGGUGGUUCACAUGGUAUGCAGUUGAGAUUAAUUUAGUGGGAUAUGUUAUUUUAUAUGAUUGGAUGAAUAUGUGAUUGGAUUGGGAUGUAUUGGAUGUGUUUAAUGCGUUCUGCGUAUAUGUGAUUUUCCAUCUUUUUUUAAUCAUAAUUUGGUUGAUGUGAAAAAUUUUGCACAUACAUAUAGAAAUUGGAAGGCAUUUUGCAUGCUACUAGUGAUGAUUUUUUUUACACAUACAUGUGAUUAACCUCGCAAAAUAUUUAUUUUAAACAUAUGUUUACUAAAAAGGGCACAUUUUGGACUUUCGCACUGCGCACCAAAAAACUCAGGACCGGCCCUGAUUAGCGUAACACUCCCUCUUAAAUUUGAGGGUUUAUUAAUUAUAAGUAAAGGGUUAGAAUUAGGGCUUCGGGGUUAGAUUUAGGGUGCUUAAUUUACGGGGUGAGAUUUAGGGUACUUAAGUUAGGUGUUACUUGAUUUUGAAUUAGGGUUCUUAAAUUUGGGUUUCGAAUUAGGAUAGUGAGUUAGAUUUAGGGUUGUAAUGGUUUAUUUCCAAUUUUGUAGGUGUCACAGCUCAUUAGAAGCCAAAAGGCAAUGACGACUACACCUCCUACUACUGCCGCCACUGCUCCAGCAGAGAUGGACCAUAGGCUAGUGAAUCUGGUUGACCCAGUUGGUCCUCCAAUCCCAUAGGCGUUGGCACCUUCAACUUCUUCGGUGGUGUUACGUGUUAGUGCUCGACAUGCUCAACAGUGCCCCCACACUCCAGAGCAGAUGUCACCAUUGGGAUCGACAACCAAUACCUCGGGUCCAUAGCCAAGUAUACUAUCCCAAUUAACUCCUUCAUUCCCAUGUUAACUUAGUUUUGUUAUUUUAGGUUCAGUUUGUUAAGUUAUGUCAUUUAAGGAUUAAAAAGUUAUUAUAUGUUUGUACCAUACUUGACCAAUCCCGAAACUACUAAGCACCGGUCAACGUUAUAUCGUCAAGGACCCAUAAGAGCUUCCCUUCAACCAGGAGGCCAAUCACAAUGUGACACGUGUCGACAUCAGAAGCCAAUCACAGCGCGACAGGUGUCAACAUCAGAAGCCAAUCAUAACACGACACAUGUCAAUGUCAGAACAAAACUAGAAACUCUCUUCUAUAAAUAGGGAUCAUUCUCCCACAAUAAUCUCUAAUGUCAUUUUGUACUAAACUAUUCACUAGAACUCACAAAAGGAGAGCUUGAACCUAUGUAUUUGUGUAAACCCUUCACAAUUAAUGAGAACUCCCCUACUCCGUGGACGUAGCCAAUCUGGGUGAACCACGUAUAUCUUGUGUUUACUUCUCUGUCUCUAUUCAUUUACAUACUUAUCCUCACUAGUGACCGAAGCAACCAAGCGAAGAUCACAAAACCUGACACUUUCUGUUGUACCAAAGUCCUCACUGAUUUUGUGCAUCAACAUUAUAUAUAUAUAUAUAUUAUUAUUGUCAUUGUUCAGAACCCAUUAUUAAACAGUUGUGAUCAUUGUGUUGGAUACAUAUAUUGUUUAUGUUAUUUUCAGGGUUUUGGGAAAUGUUUUAAUUAUAUGGAGGUUUUGCCAAAAUUUUGGUUGGAUUUGUUAUUAGUUUUGGAUUAACGUUAAUUUUUCAUUUCUUUGCAACCAAGAAAAACACCUGAGGACCUUGUCGGCAAUUGAAGAUGGUGAAGGCCACCCGAGUGACCAACGAUUGUAUCACAAUCGAAUAUAAUGAGCGACAUCGGGCCACACCAACGGCGGAGCAUCAUAGUGCAUUGGUCCUUGACAUUGGGCAUGUCGUGCAGACCUUUUGCCCUAUGUGGUGGAAGUCUUGGAAGGCGAUGCUGGAGGAGGUGAAAAACACGAUGUUCAAUCAUUUGUCUACAAGUAUCGUCACAUAAGCUUUUCAGGUACAAUUUAUAUAUUUAUAUUUGUUAAUGUCUUUUAUUACUAAUACUUUCAUAAUAUUUGUUACAUUGCAGACAAACUACAAUUUUAAUAACAUCAACGAGGACAUGUUGGCGUACCUCAAUCGGCUCUUCUCCGAACUUUACAAGCAGUAGAAAGCUGACCUGCACCGGCAUUUCGAGAUGUUUGAUGAUCUGUAGGUCGCUUGCGAGGAGGGUUGCCCAAAGGAGUUCGUGGACCGAGAAGAUAGUUGGGUUUGGCUUUGCUUCAUUUUUAGGAGCCGGGCUAUGUGGUGCAGUUUUAAAUAAGACUUCUUUAAUUUUACUUUUUUAAAUUUUUACUAAUGUUUAUUACUUUUUUUUUCUUUAAAUAUUACAACUAAUACAUUUAUUUUGUGUAUAACAGUAGAAGGCGAAGGCGAAUAAGAUCAAUCGGGAAAAGAAGACUCUUCUCUACCAUUCGGGUUCGAAGUCUUUCCCAUAUAGGAUGGAGGCACGGCGGAAGGUAUAUAUGUUGGAAAUCUACCCUAAAACCAAUCAUAUGAUGAUACUUUACGGACAUUUCACAUGUUAAACUAAUCUAGUUUAAUAUCAAGGGCAAAGAUUAUUGUUUGAGCCGUCUCAUAUAUGAUAGGAGCAUAUUUAUGCGCCUUAGUUAGCUAGUUCUUAUGCAUUUUCGUUAUGUUUUCUUAAUUAAAGUAGUCUUUUGAGCUACUUUCAUGUGUUUUCAGGUUCAAAGGGCAUAUGACAUAAAAGAUGGCAAAAUGGAGCAUUUUAGAGCAAAAGUGAGCUUGGAUUGAAAAGUACAUGCUUGGAACAAGGAAUGGACGAGUUUGAAGGUCGAGGGAGCUUAAGAAAUGAAGAAAUGAAAGUAAAGAACAAAGAAGUCGGAAUUGGCAACUAAAGUUUCUAAAGUUGGAAGUUUCUAUUCUUGGAGGUUUCCAUUUUCGAGAGUUUCUAUUCUUGGCUUUGGGCUUUUGGAUGACCCAUCUUUGCCUCUUGGACCUAUGCCGCACCUAACCCUAACCCUAGCCCACUUAAUCAGCCGCACCUAGGCCUUGUUCACAUGAAAAAAAUCUGAUUACUUACCCUAAGCCCAUGCCGCACCUAAUGUUCUAGAAACCCUAGUUUUUGGUGGAUUUCCUAACCCUAGCCGCACCUAAACCCUAGCCCAUUUGUCUAACCUGAUUUCUUUAGGGUUUGGCUGCCUAUAUAUAUGUGUUUUACCUCCCUUGGCCGAAGAAGACCCUCUCCAUAUUCAGAAAUUCGUCCAAAACCCUAUUUCCCACCUUGCCGCAGCCUUCCAUCCCCAAACUCCCAACUUUCUGCCCAAAUUCAACCUUGCCGCACCAUCCUCUUCCCCAAACCAUUCCUACAUCCUUCCAUAACCAUUCAUCCACCUUGUGCAGCCACUAAAGGCGGAGAAAGAAGGAGUGCCGUGCAGUCCAAAGGAAGGAGAAGCCUUGCACAUGCAAUCUGCCAUUAGUGGAGUGUUUGGAGUUCUUUCUUUCUUUGUUUCUGUUUUCAUGUUUAAUUUAAAUUGUUGUUCAAUUAUGUUAGACAUGUGGAACUAAUUUCUUUUUAGUUAGAGGUGAAUUUGAAGCCAUGGACAUAUGUUUUAUAUGAUUUGAUUUCUUCCAAUUAUGAUUUCAGAAAUUGUGAAUGUGAUUUACUUAUCUAUUUGAUUGAUAACUUGUUUAUGUAUGUGGGUUGAGGGUCGACACUUAAUUUGCAUGCUUAAACUUGAUGCUAGGGUAUAAGGGAAUUUCACCUAAUCGUUAUUAACUUAUAUUCAUAAGUAGUGAAAGUCGCUAGUCACGAUUGUGUUAAGUAAAUCCUAGGCAAGAGUAACAUGCGUAUCCCAUAGUUAUGAAUGCCUCGUCAAUGCUUAUGAUGUCCAUUGAACUUAAUGAUCUUUGAUAUGUGUCUCUAUCAUGCGUAUUCCAUAGUUAGGGUCCUUGAUAAGAAUAAUUUGGUUGUAAUGCGUAUUCCAUUCAAUUCAAUGAAUCUAGGGAAAUCUGAGAAUUAAUUGGUGCAAUCUAGUUAAUUUGGGGCAUUGUCAUUCAUGGUUUGUUGAAAGAGUAAUUGGAGAUCGAAUUGUAUACAUAUGUUCAUGUGUGGAUAAGGAACCCUCUAACUAGCUUCUCACCAUUCUAUUUAAUCACAAUCUGUUUUGCUUUACAUUUGUUUUUAAAGUUUGAGUUUUAAAGUUUUAAUUUCGUCAAAAUCAUUCCCCCAUCUAUUUUAAAGUGUUAGAUUAGUUAGAAAUCCAUUUAGUUGUGUUUCUAAGUGUUUUGAGUCAAGUCAUAGUCCAAAUUCGUCCAAAGUAGUGUAGGUGCUCAAAACUGCCCAGAAAGUGGUUUUUAGGCAGUUUUGAGCCUUCUAGUUGCUGUUUUGAGUUUUUAGUUUGUUUAGGUGUUUUAAACCCUAGUUUUGCAUUAAUUGAGUCUAGUUUAGUGUUCUACAUUAUAUUUUUAUGUUCUUGAGUCAGUUUUACAUUGAUUAGCAUCCCUAGUUAAUCCCCGGUUAGAACGAUCCCUAUUUGCUCAUAUACUACAAUUGUCAUCCAUAGGGUUUAAUUUGUGUGUCAAGUUAAUUUUCACAUCAAUAUAAAUGUUAUAUGCUUAAACGAUAAGUCCAAGGAAUAUGUGAUUGGGAGCAAGGAAGAAAAUAUCGGUAAUAUCGGAAAUAUCGGUAGUCCGAAAACACGGAAAUAUCAAUGGAAAUAUCGGGAUAAUAUCGAUAUCGAUAAAAAUUACAUGGAAACCACGGAAAUUGUAAAAAAAACUUGGAAAUUUUUAAUGAAACUUUGUAGGAUGUUUAUUUAGUCAAUUAUCUAUUAGUUUAUCACAAAAAAUUGGAAGGAAAUGCAUUGCAUGAUGGAUUUAACUGAUUUAAGUUGAUUAUAUAGCGAGCUGGAAAACAUUGUGAGUGUAGAAAAUAUGUAGUAAUUAAUGAAAGAAGUUUAAACACACCAUAAUCAUUUAUAUAUAAUUAAUUAGUACAAUAUUUGGAGGUUUUAUUUAGGAAGUGAAUAAAAUGAUGAAGAAUAAUGUGCCGAAUUUGACACUUUAAAUUUCUUACACAUAAGCAUGCGUCUAGGCGUUGAAGUUCCAAAUUAUAGUAUAUCAAUUAACGAUUGAAAAUCAAUACAUUGAAUAAGACUAAACUUUAAUUUGGAUGCCGAUUAUGUUUUUUCAAGUUUAUAUAAAGUAAAAGAAUUGAAUUUUGAAAGCUAGGAGUGUGUCAAUUGAAUUUUGGCCGGCGUGCAAGGUAUCAAUCUCUUCGUCUCGUCGAGUAGUACAACUUUCCUUUUUGUUUCACUCAAUUUUGUUGAGUAUUGAAAAAGUUAUACUCAUUUGAAUAUUACCCAGUUUCCGGCGACCUCAGUGGCUUUCGAGGAAAUUUCCGGCCAAACUACAAUGAGUCAGAUAUCUUGUGAGGUACCAUUCUCUUCGUCUCUUUGAGGGCUAUAACUUUCCUUUUUGUUUCACUCAAUUUCGUUGCGUAUUGAAAAAGUUAUACUCAUUUGAAUCUUACCCAGUUUCCGGCGACCUCAGUGGUUUUCGAGGCAAUUUCCGGCCAAACCACGGCGAUUUGUCCGGCGUGCAAGGUAUCAAUCUCUUCGUCUCGUCGAGUAGUACAACUUUCCUUUUUGUUUCACUCAAUUUUGUUGAGUAUUGAAAAAGUUAUACUCAUUUGAAUCUUACCCAGUUUCCGGCGACCUCGGUGACUUUCGAGGCAUUUUCCAGCCAAACCACGACGAUUCAGAUGUCGUGUGAGGUACCAUUCUCUUCGUCUCUUCGAGGGUUUAAAGUGAGUGUAAAUUUUCGGCCGAAAUUCUGAUUUUCUCUCCCAUUGGGCGAGUCCCACAUCGCCCAUACGAGGGCAGUGAGCAAGCAAUUUGUCCUAUAAAACCCACAUUCCCCUGCUGAGAAAAGCAUAGCUUGUUCGGCCUUUGGGCUAUGAUCAAGUGAAGUAUGUGUUGAGUUUUCUCAACAUAUUUAAGUAUUUUUUAGUAUUAUGUUGCGAUAUUAUCGAUAAUUUCGAAAAUAUCACGAUAUUAUCGAUAAUAUCGCGAUAUUUUAACGAAAAUCAUUUGGAUAGUUAAAAAAAUAUCGGACCUCUAAAAAAACGAUAAUAUCGGCGAUAUUUAGCCGAUAUUAUCGAUUUUUUCUUCCUUGAUUGGGAGAAUGCGAUCUAAAGAAGUUAGAUUCAUGAGACCAUUCUUUCGUAGACAUAUCCUAAACGUUCCUGAUCAUAGGAUUGCCAAUUGGGCAUUGACAGUCCAUUAAGAUCAGUACGUGUUGUGUCUUCUCUCAGGGAGAGUGACUAGUCUCGAGUCAUUGGUGUGUGUGACAUCAAGACAAGUACGUAGGUGCUCAAUAGAGAAUGAGUUCACUGAACACGAUCAACGAACAGUUCUCAUAUUCAUGUCACAUGAGAACUCAUGGUUGGGAUAAUGCAAAGUAGUCAUUUGACCUGAGGCAUCAUAGUUGUCUUGUGGUUAAGUCCUUGAUCUUUGAUUAUGUCAAAGUCACUCCAUCAGGAGGGUGUCCACGACAUAAUUGGGGUUAAGCCACUUAGCUAUGGAGGCAAGUGAAUGCGCAACAAGGGAUCUCUAACCUUCAAACCGUUUAAGGGAGAAUACUCUAUGAUAUGAUUAAGAAUCUCUGGCCAGAGUAUGAAUGAGAUUUAGGAAAGUCGUUCCAAAUCACAUUCAAGGUAAUCAUAUAAGCACACGAAUUACAUUGGAUAGUAGACAUGAAUAAACUAUCAAACCAAACAAUGUGGUCAAGAGUAUUGUAUUAGAGAAAGACCGUAUUGCAUUUGUAAUCCUAAACUGAAUAGGUUCUCUACCUCUUCUGAUUAGCUUGGGUAACCAUGAUAUGCUGCUAGGUGUCACUCUUGGUUUGUGGAAGCCCUAAACGUAUAUAAUCACUAAAGGGAGAAUUGAAAGUAAGUUUGAAUUCACAAUCGAUUUGAAAGAGUUCUAAUCGCCCACUGCCUCGCUAAAAGGAACCUAAUGGAUCGUACACCGUGUAAGGUGGAGAUUGAAGAAACAAUGGAGAUGAGUAAGAAUAAUUAAAUGGUUUAAUUAUUUAUGGCAAGGAUUAAUUAAUAUGUUAAUUAAUCAAACGAAUAAGUUCGUUAAAGACCUCGGGAUAGUUGUGGACCUUAAGGCCCAAUGGGCUUCGAGCGUCAAGCCCAUUGACUUAAGUUGCAUGACAAUUUAAUGAAUAAAGAUUCACAAAGGCCCAAAAGCCCAAAUCCCUUAUAUGGCCGGCCAUGUGUGUUGAAUUAGGGUUUUUGGUUCUUUAGGUCAUUUAAAGAAGUGACUAUAUAAAGAACUUUAUAGCCUAAAAUUCAAAAAAGGGUUUCUUUUAGGAAAUUGGAGAGAACACAAAGCUCUCCUUUCUCUCUAAAGAGGCCGGCCCCCUUGGAGGGAUUAGCUAGCAAUCCCACUCCUCCAAGGUCACUCAUUUCUUCUCCAAUCUAACCUUAGUGUAGACACUUAGAGGUUCUCAAUUUUGGGAACUUGGAGAACCAUAUUCUUCCAUCCAAAUCCAUGGAUCUAAGAAGCAAGGAAUGAAGGCCCUCUCUUUGGGUGAUUAGCCUUUGCUUAUGCAAAGAGGAAUCUACAAAGGUAUAAAUUUCUCAACUCACUUUGAUUUGAGUUGAGUCUUGGUUCACCAAUCUACUAGGCUUUGAAUUUCAUGGGUAAUGUUUUGUUUUUGAAUGCAUGCAAGCAUGAUUCCGCCUUUUAAUUGUUAAAUGCAUGCUAUAGAUGUUAUUCAAAUGAACAUAUUUUCACAAAAUCAUCCUUCAAUAUAUUAAACCUUUCAUUUUCAAUUUUAAAAUGUCGCUAAUAAUUUUUUUCUGUUUUUUGUUUCCGUACUAACAUUUUCCUUAACUUUUUCUAUUCCAAGGGGGUUCAAAAUUCAUGGAGAUCGGCGUCUUUGCUGACAUUUAUGUUCGACCUGGGGAUGAGUUGACCGAGUCCGUUCAUGUAAUUAAUUUCUUAUGCAUUAGAGAUUUAUACUAAUUAUUUCAAAUUGUUUGCUAUUAAUAUUCCAUGUUUUAUUUCACAGGCGACUGUGGUGGAGAAGGGUCAGUCAGGCAUGUAGAAGUCCACCUUCUAGCUUCCUCCUAACAUGCCGAUCGAGUCUGUGGAUCCCCCUGAGGAUGUUGGGUUUCACAUUCUUAGAGAGAUGUUGAACUAGGCUUUCAGUCGAAUACCAAAGACAUAUUGUCGAAGGAUGGGAAAUGCCAAACGACGAAAGAGUGGAGCCUCUUCAUCCUUGUAGUCGAAGGGUGAGGUUAUGGCUUUGACGCAGGAAGUCGCUGGCCUGAGGAGUGAGCUCGCUUCGUACAAGACUCAAAUGUCAUUGAUUGUACAGGCCCUCAAUUCCUCCAGGAUCUGUCUUCCCGAUUUUUCUGAACCAUCGCCGUCAGAGCCCUUCCACCCCGAGCAUACACAGCAAUCAGACCAGUCGACUUCCGAUUCCGUCCCCAACCCCACCCCUUUCCAGCAGCAAAAUUACCAAGCACCUCCGAACAACUUGCCCAUACAUUAUGCCUUAUUUUUUCAUAGUUUUUUUUUAUCCCGCUUUUUUUAAAAUAAAUUGUUUAUCUAUUCAUUAAUUUGUUUCUUUUUUUUUUGUCAAUUGUACAAAACAUAUUUUUUAAUAACAUUAUAUUUAUUCUAUUUAUUAAAUUCUUUUUUUUAUUAAAAAUAUGUCGUCGUGCAAAACCGCGUGUGUCUUACAUAUUUCAUCGCGAAAACAUUUUUGAAACGAACCAUAGACGUCCCCAAAAAUUUCUCGUCACAAAGCACACUUGUACUCUCUUAUAUCAUGCAAUAAAAACCUUUGUCCGUGUACCUUUCUUGCGACAAGUAGUAAAGCGUCAUGCAAUUGUUUUGAUGCGAAACGAAACUGCACUCUUCAUCAUGCAAGAUCUUUCUUCAGGACCUUUGCAUGACAAAUUUUGCGCAAGGAUUUCUGUGUUGCCAUAGGUUUUGUGUGACCUGAAAAUGCUUUGCACGACAAAUACUCCCUGGUCAAGCGAAGUGUUUAAUGUAGUAGUGAUUUAAGAAAGUACAUUCAACACAUUCUUGUGCAAUCAACAAUGAUUGUGAGGAAGUUAUUGGACGAUAUGGGACGAUAUGGGCUAAGAUAUGGGGUGAUUGAUACUAGGGAUGGGCAAAUACCCAUUGCUUAUGGGUAACUGUGGUUACCCAUCCAUUUAAAUUAAACGGUUACGGUUAUGGGUAACUGUUUAGAUAAAUAAAUGGUUAUGGGUAUAACCAUUUCCCCGUGAAAUUUAAAUGGACGGUUAUGGGUAUUAACUGCGGUCAUAAACAGGUAACCGUUUACCCAUUUAUUUUAUAUAUGAAAAACUAACACAAACCAUGUUCUCGAUCCAAUAAUACUUAGCACCCAAUAAAUUAGCAAGGAAUUCAUUGGUCCUUCUCUCAAUAACAUUGCUACAGGAAUGAUGAUUCUCAUCAUCAAGGAAUUCGCCAAAUUAAUUUAAAUUCCUUGCGUGUAACCGUGAAAUUGACAGAAAUGUCUUCUAGACAAUUUUUGUAACCCAAUAAUACUUUGCAAAUAUUAUAUUUACCUUCAUUGGUAACAGUUAAAAAUAUCGUCCGUAAACUAUUAUUUGAAUUAUUGGAAUGAUAUAAGGACUUAAAAAAUUAAAAUACAGAAAUGUAUGAUGAAUGUACCUAUAACAGUGUUUAAUUGUCAAAAAAAAAAAAGAAAAUUACGACAAUUUUUUUUUUUUAAUUUUCAAGGUGUUAAAAAACAUGUAGAGGUGAAAAUGGGGUAAUGGUUAAAAAAAAAAAGAUAAACGGGUUAAAAAGGGUAAAUGGGUAAAUGGGUAUUAAACGGUUACAGUUAAAUGGAUAUGCGGUUAUGGGUAUGGUUAACCGUUUAUAAGCGGUUAUGGGUAUGGGUAUAACCGUUUAGGCAAUUACCCAACGGGUAAACGGUUAUGCGGGUAUGAGUAUAAACGGUUAUGGGUAAAUAACUGCAGUUACCCGCCCGCCAUAACCAUUGCUCAUCCCUAAUUGAUACUGAUAGGAGCAUAUUUAUGCGACUUAGUUGGCUUGUUCUUAAGCAUUUAUGUUGUUUUUCUUUAGUUAUUUUAGU
Molecule: long non-coding RNA, 43704 nt
Filed under: Malus domestica (apple)
Lineage: Eukaryota; Viridiplantae; Streptophyta; Magnoliopsida; Rosales; Rosaceae
Description: long non-coding RNA (MDOM_LNC018298)
Source: RNAcentral